RNAcentral lists this ribosomal RNA (254 nucleotides) under uncultured bacterium. Its description in RNAcentral is "partial 16S ribosomal RNA". It matches the Rfam family "Bacterial small subunit ribosomal RNA", at positions 524 to 776 of the family's 1533-position model. The record is from RNAcentral.
UACGUAGGGGGCAAGCGUUAUCCGGAAUUACUGGGUGUAAAGGGAGCGUAGGCGGUAUGGUAAGCCAGAUGUGAAAGCCCGAAGCUUAACUUCGAGGAUUGCAUUUGGAACUAUCAAACUAGAGUACAGGAGAGGUAAGUGGAAUUCCUAGUGUAGCGGUGAAAUGCGUAGAUAUUAGGAAGAACACCAGUGGCGAAGGCGACUUACUGGACUGAAACUGACGCUGAGGCUCGAAAGCGUGGGGAGCGAACAGG